RNAcentral lists this transfer RNA (73 nucleotides) under Phaeobacter phage MD18. It matches the Rfam family "tRNA". From Rfam's summary of the family: Transfer RNA (tRNA) molecules are approximately 80 nucleotides in length. Their secondary structure includes four short double-helical elements and three loops (D, anti-codon, and T loops). The record is from Rfam by way of RNAcentral. Lineage: Duplodnaviria; Heunggongvirae; Uroviricota; Caudoviricetes.
UCCCGGUUAGCUCAGCGGUAGAGCGGGAGGUUUACACCCUCCGACAGCGGCGGUUCGAUCCCGCCACCGGGGA